GACGAACGCUGGCGGCGUGCUUAACACAUGCAAGUCGAACGAUGAAGCUGGAGCUUGCUCUAGCGGAUUAGUGGCGAACGGGUGAGUAACACGUGAGCAAUCUGCCCUUGACUCUGGGAUAACUGCGGGAAACUGUAGCUAAUACCGGAUACUUUCACCGGGGGGCAUCCUCUGGUGAUGAAAGAAUUUCGGUCAAGGAUGAGCUCGCGGCCUAUCAGCUUGUUGGUGAGGUAACGGCUCACCAAGGCGACGACGGGUAACCGGCCUGAGAGGGUGACCGGUCACACUGGGACUGAGACACGGCGCAGACUCCUACGGGAGGCAGCAGUGGGGAAUAUUGCACAAUGGGCGCAAGCCUGAUGCAGCAACGCCGCGUGAGGGAUGAAGGCCUUCGGGUUGUAAACCUCUUUUAGCAGGGAAGAAGCGAAAGUGACGGUACCUGCAGAAAAAGCACCGGCUAACUACGUGCCAGCCGCCGCGGUAA
Molecule: ribosomal RNA, 484 nt
Filed under: uncultured bacterium
Lineage: Bacteria
Description: partial 16S ribosomal RNA
Rfam family: Bacterial small subunit ribosomal RNA
Source: RNAcentral